GGCUGUGUGGUCUAGUGGUAUGUUUCUCGCUUAGGGUGCGAGAGGUCCCGAGUUCAAUUCUCGGUACUGCCC
RNAcentral lists this transfer RNA (72 nucleotides) under Perkinsus olseni. RNAcentral's name for it is "tRNA-Pro". It matches the Rfam family "tRNA". Rfam says of the family: Transfer RNA (tRNA) molecules are approximately 80 nucleotides in length. The record is from RNAcentral. Lineage: Eukaryota; Perkinsozoa; Perkinsida; Perkinsidae.